This 1340-nucleotide ribosomal RNA is filed under the name Melanconis alni. RNAcentral describes it as "eukaryotic LSU rRNA". It matches the Rfam family "Eukaryotic large subunit ribosomal RNA", at positions 56 to 1426 of the family's 3401-position model. Lineage: Eukaryota; Fungi; Ascomycota; Sordariomycetes; Diaporthales; Melanconidaceae. The record is from RNAcentral.
GAAAAGAAACCAACAGGGAUUGCCCCAGUAACGGCGAGUGAAGCGGCAACAGCUCAAAUUUGAAAUCUGGCUUCGGCCCGAGUUGUAAUUUGCAGAGGAUGUAUUUGGCGCGGUGCCUUCCGAGUUCCCUGGAACGGGACGCCAUAGAGGGUGAGAGCCCCGUCUGGUUGGACACCAAGCCUAUGUAAUACUCCUUCGACGAGUCGAGUAGUUUGGGAAUGCUGCUCUAAAUGGGAGGUAAAUCUCUUCUAAAGCUAAAUACCGGCCAGAGACCGAUAGCGCACAAGUAGAGUGAUCGAAAGAUGAAAAGCACCUUGAAAAGGGGGUUAAACAGUACGUGAAAUUGUUGAAAGGGAAGCGUUUAUGACCGGACUUGUGCCGUGUGGCUCAUCCGGGGUUCUCCCCGGUGCACUCCAUACGGUUCAGGCCAACAUCGGUUCUCGUUGGGGGAUAAGAACAGUAGGAACGUGGCCCUCCUCGGAGGGUGUUAUAGCCUAUUGUACGAUACCUUGAUGGGGACCGAGGACCGCGCUUCGGCUAGGAUGUUGGCGUAAUGGUCAUUAGCGACCCGUCUUGAAACACGGACCAAGGAGUCGUCCAUUAGAGCGAGCGUUUGGGUGUAAAACCCGCACGCGUAAUGAAAGUGAAAUUAGGUGAGAGCUUCGGCGCAUCAUCGACCGAUCCUGAAGUUUACGGAUGGAUUUGAGUAAGAGUUUUAACGGACGGACCCGAAAGACAGUGAACUAUGCUUGAAUAGGGUGAAGCCAGAGGAAACUCUGGUGGAGGCUCGCAGCGGUUCUGACGUGCAAAUCGAUCGUCAAAUUUGAGCAUGGGGGCGAAAGACUAAUCGAACUGUCUAGUAGCUGGUUACCGCCGAAGUUUCCCUCAGGAUAGCAGUGUUGACCUUCAGUUUUAUGAGGUAAAGCGAAUGAUUAGGGACUCGGGGGCGCUUAUUAGCCUUCAUCCAUUCUCAAACUUUAAAUAUGUAAGAAGCCCUUGUUACUUCAUUGAACGUGGGCAUUCGAAUGUACCAACACUAGUGGGCCAUUUUUGGUAAGCAGAACUGGCGAUGCGGGAUGAACCGAACGGGGGGUUAAGGCGCCAGAAUGUACGCUCAUCAGACACCACAAAAGGCGUUAAUACAUCUUGACAGCAGGACGGUGGCCAUGGAAGUCGGAAUCCGCUAAGGACUGUGUAACAACUCACCUGCCGAAUGUAUUAGCCCUGAAAAUGGAUGGCGCUCAAGCGUACUGCCCAUACCCCCCCUUCAGGGUAGAAACGAUGCCCUGAAGAGUAGGCGGCCGUGGAGGUUUGUGACGAAGCCUAGGGCGUGAGCCCGG